AGUGAACGCUGGCGGUAGGCCUAACACAUGCAAGUCGAACGGCAGCACAGUAAGAGCUUGCUCUUACGGGUGGCGAGUGGCGGACGGGUGAGGAAUACAUCGGAAUCUACUUUUUCGUGGGGGAUAACGUAGGGAAACUUACGCUAAUACCGCAUACGACCUACGGGGGAAAGCAGGGGAUCUUCGGACCUUGCGCGAUCGAAUGAGCCGAUGUCGGAUUAGCUAGUUGGCGGGGUAAAGGCCCACCAAGGCGACGAUCCGUAGCUGGUCUGAGAGGAUGGUCAGCCACACUGGAACUGAGACGCGGUCCAGACUCCUACGGGAGGCAGCAGUGGGGAAUAUUGGACAAUGGGCGCAAGCCUGAUCCAGCCAUACCGCGUGGGUGAAGAAGGCCUUCGGGUUGUAAAGCCCUUUUGUUGGGAAAGAAAAGCAGCAGGUUAAUACCCCGCUGUUCUGACGGUACCCAAAGAAUAAGCACCGGCUAACUUCGUG
RNAcentral lists this ribosomal RNA (492 nucleotides) under uncultured bacterium. Its description in RNAcentral is "partial 16S ribosomal RNA". It matches the Rfam family "Bacterial small subunit ribosomal RNA", at positions 29 to 507 of the family's 1533-position model. The record is from RNAcentral.